AGCGUUGUUCGGAAUUACUGGGCGUAAAGCGCACGUAGGCGGACAUUUAAGUCAGGGGUGAAAUCCCGGGGCUCAACCCUGGAACUGCCUUUGAUACUGGGUGUCUUGAGUACGAGAGAGGUGAGUGGAAUUCCGAGUGUAGAGGUGAAAUUCGUAGAUAUUCGGAAGAACACCAGUGGCGAAGGCGGCUCACUGGCUCGUAACUGACGCUGAGGUGACGAAAGCGGUGGGGAGAC
Molecule: ribosomal RNA, 236 nt
Filed under: uncultured bacterium
Lineage: Bacteria
Description: partial 16S ribosomal RNA
Rfam family: Bacterial small subunit ribosomal RNA
Source: RNAcentral